AAAUUGAAGAGUUUGAUCAUGGCUCAGAUUGAACGCUGGCGGCAGGCCUAACACAUGCAAGUCGAACGGUAGCACAGAGAGCUUGCUCUCGGGUGACGAGUGGCGGACGGGUGAGUAAUGUCUGGGAAACUGCCUGAUGGAGGGGGAUAACUACUGGAAACGGUGGCUAAUACCGCAUAAUGUCGCAAGACCAAAGAGGGGGACCUUCGGGCCUCUUGCCAUCAGAUGUGCCCAGAUGGGAUUAGCUAGUUGGUGAGGUAACGGCUCACCAAGG
This 274-nucleotide ribosomal RNA is filed under the name Salmonella enterica. RNAcentral's name for it is "partial 16S ribosomal RNA". It matches the Rfam family "Bacterial small subunit ribosomal RNA", at positions 1 to 273 of the family's 1533-position model. Lineage: Bacteria; Pseudomonadati; Pseudomonadota; Gammaproteobacteria; Enterobacterales; Enterobacteriaceae. The record is from RNAcentral. RNAcentral also lists the same sequence under 2 other names.